UGCUGUCGUCGACAGCACCCAAAGCUUCACGACCUGAAAGAAGCGCCUGAUCUGUCAGGAGAUGGUUGCCAUUUUACCGGCAGGGCCUCUGCAAAAAUGCCGGGCCGCAGAUACUGCGGCAGAGGUUGAGAGUUAUAUACGAUACA
Molecule: unclassified non-coding RNA, 146 nt
Filed under: Escherichia coli
Lineage: Bacteria; Pseudomonadati; Pseudomonadota; Gammaproteobacteria; Enterobacterales; Enterobacteriaceae
Description: STAXI
Source: RNAcentral